Molecule: ribosomal RNA, 385 nt
Filed under: uncultured Cryptomonadales
Lineage: Eukaryota; Cryptophyceae; Cryptomonadales
Description: partial small subunit ribosomal RNA
Rfam family: Eukaryotic small subunit ribosomal RNA
Source: RNAcentral
GCUUGUCUCAAAGAUUAAGCCAUGCAUGUCUUAGUGUAAAUAACUCUUAUGAAACUGCGAAUGGCUCAUUAAAUCAGUUAUCGUUUAUUUGAUGGUCCCUUACUACAUGGAUAACCGUAGUAAUUCUAGAGCUAAUACAUGCACAAAGGCCCGACUCACGAAGGGCUGUAUUUAUUAGAUUUAAAGCCGACAUCUUUUGGUGAUUCAUAAUAACUAAGCGAAUCGCAUAGGCUUGCCUGGCGAUGGAUCUUUCAAGUUUCUGACCUAUCAGCUAUCGACGGUAGGGUAUUGGCCUACCGUGGCUAUGACGGGUAACGGAGAAUCAGGGUUCGAUUCCGGAGAGGGAGCCUGAGAAACGGCUACCACAUCUAAGGAAGGCAGCAGG